AGAAUAGCACCGUGCGGUAAUAGCAGCACGGUGCGGGAAAGCGCCCAGCAGCUGUUCCUGGUGUCCACACGGCCAGGACGCACCGCUCGUCCCUUUGCCGGACCACCCCUCUGUGAAACAAACACAGUGCAGGGCAGUUAGGAGAGGUAUGGACUCGAGAUAAAUUAUAAAAAGUAAUGAAAAGGGAAAAAAGGGGGAAAAAUGCGGCCCUCCUCUUCUUAAAGUCCUCGCUGUUGCGGAGAAGGUGACACCGUGCUUUCCGAAGGCUUUCUGUGUGCUGCAGGCACACAGCAGCAGGCUGAAAGCGGGCUUGGGGAGAAAGACAGCACCUUCUUGCCGGCUUCUAUUGGAGGAAGCUGUCCUGCAAACAACGCUGAUAUCCCCGAGGAGUGUUCAGGCAUCUGGGCAACAACCGGACUCACACCAUCAGGUAGCGCAAGGCUUGUUUGUCAACAGGCGCCUCAAAAAUUAUCCUUUAUAGUGCUUUUGGCUUAGGAAAAAAAUGAGUAAAUCAGAGGAACACAGUCCUGCCAAUGGAUAGCAGGGAAACGCAGGCAACCAUUCGCCACCCCACACUACCGCAGCCACGGAUUCGUAGAGGGGGGAGUGGCGGUGCCGGGACUCUGGCGGCCCCGGAGCGGAGCGGUGGAGAGCGAUGGAACCGAGGAAAAAAAAUGCCUGGAAGCCUCGGGUGACGCGGGCACAGAACGGCCCAGAUCGGGAUUCUGCACCGCUCGGGAACGGGGAACUCGCUGCCUGAAGCACACACGUGUGCUCGGUUCGGGUGAAUUUAUUCCCGGGUGAGCCUACGUCGGGUAAUUGAUAAUAUCGGAGAACUGAAGAAACAGUGGUGUCAAAGGUCAGUACCUUCAGCCCUCUCCUUAUUGAGUACACUCCUGAUGAUGGUUGAGAACCGAGCUGCCAUACUGCUACGUGAAGCAGUGAGGGAAAACAUGAACUAAAGAAAUGGAGGUGGGAAAAUCCACCUCAUGGUCAGUAACAAUUAUCUACGUGCAUUUCGUGCUUUGCCUUCUCUGUUCGCAGUAUCAGAACUGUGGUACAGCUCUGCAGUUCUGCAGCACCAGCUGCAAUGUCUGGACAGAAGCUGGGAAGGGCAAGGGAUUGGAAACGAACUUUGAAGGAAUCCCAAACUUAGCAGAAUCGCAGAACGUCCUGAGUUGGAAGGUGCCCACGAGGACCAUCCAGUCCAACUCCAGGCUUCACACAGGAUCACUUAAAAACCAGAUCGUAAUCACGCUGUACACAGAGUUCUUCAUCAUCCUCCGUCUCCUCAGAGACACUGCUCGGCUCCCACAUCCCCCUCUCCCGCACCACGGCGGAUUUUCUCCUCCCGCCCCAGACAGCGGUGCCCUCACCUGAGCCGGGUUCCCGGGGCGGUCCCGCUCCCUCCCGCAGCCUUCCCCUGGCGCUGGACUCUCCCUGCCUGCUGCCCUUGUUAAAGGGGCCGCUUCGCUUCUGCCGAGCUCCCAGAUGUAGUAGAGCCCGACGCCAACGGCCGAGGGCUCAGCCUGUCCCAAGAAACCCUCAGUGCACAAAACUCGCAGCAUUUCAGAUGAAACCCGCCUGAAGGUGAGCCAGCCCCUCGGCUGCACUGAAGCUCCGUCUCUGGCCUCCCCAAACCUCUGAGAACAGACGUGGUUGAGCCCUAAAUGAGGGAUGGGGCUCAGGGAUCCCCACAUUGGUACCCCUGCACUUCACAGCCUCCGGGAUUGUCGACAGCUUUGCUGCGGGGGAAGCACUUUCCAAGGAUUUAAAUAGGAGCUUUGCUUGCUCUGGUCUCUUAUGUAUUUGUGGUUACGAUUCUGGUUAAGUUUGUACCUGUGAGCACGAUAUGCUAAGUCCUGUUGCUUAAUGUUUUCUGGGUUGUCUGGGCAAGCCUAUUGCUUCUCCCUCUGCCUUGCCCACAUGGUGCUUAGGCGCCUGAUGGCAACCGCGAUGCAAACUGAGCCUGUGCCUGUUUUCCUGAGGAGUGAUGAAGUGAUGCUUCUCAGGAAGACACCAUGGGAUAAAUCAUUUAUAUGGGAAGGUGGCACAGGGAAGCAGCACCAGGCUUGAAAAACUCAAAUCCAGCUUUAUCCUAUUUCAGACAAUGCUCAGUCUGUUGCUGAAGGGUGAGGGUGUUCAGCAAGGGUUGUCUCAAGAUGGUUUUUAUCCAUUUAGGUUUUGCCUCAUUGUUGAAAUACUUCAUCUAAACCCUGAAUUCUGACUACUCUUCUCUGGUGGUAAGAUGCUUAUUUAAAUACUGUGAGAACUGGGUUUAACUAGUUGAAGCUAGAGUCUAUCAGAAGGACAGCUGCCCUAAGAAGCUGCUACAAGACCACCACUUGUGGCUGGAGGCAGGAAGCUUCAAGGCUUGCUUGUUCUGUAUAAUUCCUCUUAGAUUUAGCUGGUAGACGAGCAAAUGAGUGAAGAAUCGCCGUUUCUUCAGUCUGACAAUAGCUAAGUGAUGCUAACACCACAUUUUUGAAACAUGCAAAAAUCUUGGGAUCUGCUAGAGUCUGGUUUUAAUUUUGCCUUCUGUACAAAAUGCUCUUGGUGCAUGACUGAACUCAAGUCACUUGUCAGAGCAGCCAUACUGGAAAGAAGGGGGAAUACUCUGUGUCAGGACCCAGCAUGUGCUGAUAAGCUUUAAUUGCCCUGGCAGCUCCAUCCAUGCACUCUGCCCUUAGUGCCCAUUCAAGCAAGGCUGCAGGUGUUCCUGGCUUCAGAUGCCUUGCAGCUGUGCUGAUGUGGACCUGGCUUGACUUUGGACCUGCCUUACCCCUGUGGAUGUUCCUGAUGUCUUCAGUGCCAUCUCUGCUGCUGUCACUACUCCCCUCACAUUGCUGAUGUGGGGUGGCUCCUGUUCAUUGCAGGGAUGCAGUGACCCUUCUGCUUUCUGUGCAAAAUGUUCUCUAUCUACUCCUAUGUACUCUUUUGCAUUUCCAAAAACGGUGCCUGCCCCAGAAGUAGUAGCAUCCUGAUGAGCUUCCUGGGUGAUGCCAAAGACCUCUGAUUGAAUGUGGAGUCUGCUUGCAGUUAUGGGGUCUUAGAAAACACUAGGGUGGAGAGGGAAAGGAAUUAAACCGCACAGAGCUUCCUCUGAUUUCCUGGCUGGAGCAGAACUUUUGAUUUGAAGAAAUCAAGCCUCAAGCUUGAUUCUUGUUCUGCUGUUGAUGGAUGUUUUUGCUGCCACACACUAUAAGGGGUGACUAAGAUUAAAAUCCAGUUUGAUAAGAAGGUAGACUUGCUGAAAAUUCCUUUGGGCAUAAUUCAAAUGUAAGACAGAGGGAAAGGAGAAGAUUGGAAAGGUCAAGGUUCCUCCAUUUCUCCAAAUAUACGAAGGCUUCAUAGGAAGUUUGGACCAUGUUGGAAGGCUGCAGAACUCCACAGGGGCUCAAGAAUAUCUCCGUGAAGAUCAGUUUACAAGACCAGGGCCAUAGAAUACAAGCUCUUGGGGGCAAGGGCUGUGUUUAUCUCCAUACAAUGUUGAUCACAAUAGGAUCCUGUUUCUGUUUAGGGGUUCCAGAUGCAACGCUAGUCAAUGUCUAUAAUAAACAAUAUUAAUAAUAAAUAUUAACAUGCCAAGCUGCAAAUUACUGACAUAGUUUUCUAAUAUUGCUGGUUACUUUCCAGUAUUGUCCUUCAGUCACACCACAGUACAUUGUACGCAAAAGAAUUGAAAUCCAAUUAUUGGUGUGUCAAGAGUUAGAAGGCAUGAUCACUUUUUUUUUUCUUGUAAAAUCCAUCCAUUGAAACUGACAUCACAACAAGUGAGUUCAUUGGCCUAAUAAAUCUGAUGUCCAGCAUAUAUGCACUGUUCUGUUUACGAGGACAUUAUUAAUUAGAGUGGUAAUGAGGCUGCUCUUGCAUCAGGUAACUAGUAUGAAAAUGUUAAAAGUUAUCGUAAUGGAAAAAUGUGAACAGUAGACUUCAGAUGUGACAUUUAUUUUCAUUCAUGGGAAGAGAGCUGAAAGAAAGACUUUAGCUAUAAUUUCUCUGCUUCACUGAAUCUCUAAAAACAGCCUACAAUUUCAUUCUUCUGACCGCAGUAAUGCAGCUUCACAUUUGCACAGAAAAGUAACUUUUUAAAUUUAGAUUUUAAUUUCAUGUCUGAUUUCAGGCGCAGUAGAAACUUUAUCUUGGAAUAGCAUUUCUUCUAUAGCCAGCUCCUUUUGUGCUACAGAAAGAAAUAAUAAUGAGAAAGUAUUCCAGCAGGAGGAGCUGGUUUAGAAGCAAAUGGAUUCCAUGGCAACUCCUGACUCUACAUGACACCUAAUAACUAGCAUUUAUGUUGGAAAUUGUCUGUGCUAUCUUGCACCCCAGUUCUGGUCUUCUUAUAGGGUUUUCCCCUCAUUUUAAAGAAAAAAAAAAUCCUUAUUUUUUUCUUUUCUUUCUUUCUCUCUCUGUCUCUCUCUUUUUUUUUCUUCUCUUUUAGAUCCAGGAAUUAACAUGAAGUGAAAUGAUAGCUUGUCUGCCUCAAAAGUACGCUUAAGCAAGCUGCUUUCAACUGAACAUAAUUCAGUUUUCUGAAUUAUUUCAGAGAUGAAAUAUUUACUGAAAAAUGUGUUCAUCUGUCAAGGGACAGAGUUAUGUAGAACUGGAAUGCUGAAACUAUGUAUUUUUUAAUGUCAUGAGAUGUCCAUAUUCAGCAGUUUGAAAUACUGAUAACCCGGGAAGAUCUUACCAAAUCAGAGUAGUGCCUUGGUUCAUAUAAUGCUGGGUGAACCAGGGGAAUCUUGUAAUGAUCAGCUGGGGGAUAACCAGUCCUAUGGGAUUUCUAUCUGCAGUCAGCCAUUUGGACAAUUUAUCAUCUGAUGAACAUGGAUUUAUAUCCUCCUGUGCCAUGUUUCAGUAUAAUGCAUAUGAGAGGCUCAAGAGCUGUUGGUGUUUGAGUGUGGCACAUUAGAACUCAUUAUUUUAUACCAAAACUAAAUUAACGCUCUUAAACUAUCAUGUGGUAAAAAAACCUUUGUUUAUGACAGUUUUAGUAGAACAGGUUGAAAAACAGAGCUGAGCUGGUGACUUUUUUGUUUGGUUUUCUGUGGACACCUCAUGGUCUGGCUGUUUUUUCAGUCAGAUCUUGCUGUUUACCCAAGGCCCUAAGACUGUAGAAGAGAAUAGUUUAGGCCUGGAAAAAAAUAUAUUUCCUGUGGUCAAAGGAAAGCUCUCUUCUGUAUAGGUGAAUGAAUGCAAGAAUGAAGCAAGCAAGGCCGAAGAAAACUCCUGGGUUUGUGGUUGUGAAGGUGGAGGACGAGCAAAUGAAGACGGUGAGCUAAUCUGCAAGUGAAGGGUGGCCAAAAUGGGAAAUAUGGAAGACUCUAGACUGGACUAAUCUUAAUGCCAGGUAUUACAGGUAGCAAGACAUGUUUUGAUACAUCUUGAAGAUGGCUAACUUACUUACUUUCUUACCUUUUCACUCAAGAGAAGGAUUAUUUUUUUCUACCCACCGAUAACCUUUUUUAAUUACUUGUCACUUCAAAUAUGAAGAAAUCCUGGACAAAUACACUUAAUUGAUAGGGUACAAAAUGUGAAAAUGAGACUUGGUUUGGUUCAUUUCUUCCUGUAAAUCAUGUUUAGAUGCUGGCAUAGAUUUCCUUCAAUAGACAGCCCAAACUGCCCCAACUUAAAUUAGUGGCUUGAGUUUGGGAUCAAAAAAAACCUUCUGUAAGAAGAGCUGUAAUCAAUCACAUAAAAAUGCUGAUGAAAAAGAGAGGCAAGGCUAUAAUCAGACUUUGGAACACAGAAAGGCAUAGAAACUGAGAAGUGAAAGGAAUAUACAGAAAGCUAUGGUUAGCAGUGUCAGUAAGAAAAUAAUUUUUUAACUUGUUUAGGUGUAUACAUUCAUUUUUAUCUAAAUGAGAAAGGAAGGUACACGGCAGUAAAGGAUAUAAAUAAAAUAAAAGCAAGACUAGACAGAUUGGUUACUUGAGAUGGAGACAAGGUGAAGGCUGAAAUGAAAGGGUGAACAUAAUUAUAGAAAGGAAGAAGAUUUAGGAAAACCAGAAUUUUUAAAGAGGGAACUGAUUUAUCAUUAUUGCUGUCUCUUAUUACCUUACUGUUUUCCAUAGCUUGAAGCUUUAUGGUUUGGGGAACAACAUUGCAUUGGUGAAAGGAGUUGGGUAAGGACACUUAAAUGAAAAGAUAAGUUGCAGAUAGAAGAAUGAAAUAAUGGUUAUGGACAAAGGUUUAUCUUAUUUUGUUGUAUUUUACUAAUUGCAAGAUACUGAAGGAGUAGUGGAAUCUAAUUCUCAAGGAGACCAUCUUCUCCAUUUACUUGUGAAAUUAACAUGUAGAGAUCAGAUUACAAUCAGUAAUGUCAUUGGUCUUCCAAAAGAUGAAAGUGAUGUUUCUCUUCUAAAUUUUGGCAAGUUCUUGCAUUCCUUCAAUAGGGAUGGUGACAGUAACUACAAAUGGUGUAUGCUAUGUUCAAAUAACAUUUAUGUUUUCCUAUAAUAUUUAAUAUAUUUAAUAUUUAUUUUUACAUAUACGUAUGACACUUUCCCAUGAUUGUGUUUAUUCUUCCUCCCCUGAGAACUAUUGACAUAAGUGAGUACAUUUUAAUGAUUUAAAAUGGUAGAAUUCCAACUGUAAGGGUAUGGAAGUGUUUUUAAUAUGGACUACUUAUUCUUAACAUCAAGUUGAUAAGAUGUAACAUGGGAGCUACAAGCAGAGAUGAAUACAUUAAAAAAAAGGUGACGUAAUUUAUAACAUGAAGACUACACACUUAUGUGUGGAGAUAAAUGGAAAAGCAAGAAUCUCACCUCUGAAUGCACCCAUAGUGGAUUUUGAGGUGUGAUAUGCUGAAAUUUCCUUGAGUAGUGGAUAUGGAAAAUUAAAUGUCUCAAAAAGAGAUUGGAUAACUGCAUACGAUAUGGAAAACAUAGCACAAAGUUGGAGCACAGAAGUGUGGUUUACAUCUGGAACCUUGCCUGAGACUGCAGGAGACGUGCUUAUCUGUUUAGGAUCCAUUACUUGGAAUCUUCCCCUGAAAAGAGGCUUGCUUCCUUUCAGAGCAAGAGGAAGGACUCACUCUCUUCUAAAAAUGAGCUGCAGUCCACUACCCCAUCCUCUCCCAUACAAAAUUCCCUCAUUCAGAUAUUUUUUCUCCUCCCUGGCCACAUUUUCCCAUAUUUUCCCCUAAUGUGCCCUAAUCGCUAUGCAGAUGAUAGUGGCAUGCUUCUGUUAAAGUUAUGCUGUCGUACAAAAAUAAUUUGAUGUAAUGAAAGCAGAUGAGAUUGUUUAAUAAAAACAAGGAGGACUUUUGCCUCACAGCAGCCAUGUCUGUAUGACUCAAAGCUUUGCCUCUCCUUUGAGAAGGAUCAUUAUCCUGUUUUUCUCAUUAGGGAUUUUUUUUUUUCAUCUAAUUUCAUCCAAUUAGACAUUUUUCAUGGUCAUGAAUUAUUUGUCUUUUUUUUUUUUUUUUCUGCUAAGGCAAUGGUUCCUAAGAAUUAAAUAACUGAGAGACAUUACCCACUCAUCCAAUUCAAGAAAAUAUGAUUCAUCUCAAAAUUGGAAGUGUUAUAAAAUCUGCAGCUGUUAAUCUUUGAGUCCUAGAUCUGAGUGAAGACAUAUGAUACUAAAUGCUACUAUUCACUAAAUCCUUUGAAAAUAACAGUAGAAACAAAAUUUGUUCUGCUAAUAAUGCAUAUUGGAAAUGCAUUUCAGCCUCUGAUCUUGGAAGCAAAAGGUAAUGCAUCAACAGAAAAGAAAUUUCAGCUUAGUUUUCAGUUACUAACUGUUGGAAUUUUGUUUCAAGUCCUGUUUGUUUUCUUAGCAGCACCCACAUUUCCCAAAUUUUCAUGGAUUCAAAUAAAUUAAUCCGACUGUUUCCUAGGACUUUCAGACAGAUAAACAGGCAGUGCGUGUUUAUAAAAUGAAACAAUACCAAAAACUAUUGUGCAUUCUUGUCAGUGUCUUCUUGGUGAAAUUUUAAAUUUUUUUAAAUUUCAUGUUUACAAAUAAUAGAAUAUUCUAGUAAUCCACCUGGACUGUUUAUUUCUAAAACCCACUAUUUCUUAAGGAUUUUGGUCUUUUAAGGUCCCUUGAGGACCAUAGUCUUGAGAAGAUUCAGUCUAGUUGUUGAGGUGUGUUCAAAUUUGCAAUAGAAAUUUAGGCUCCUGUUCCCAAAAGAGUGCAUUAGAGCAGCUUUCCAGCUUGGGCACUGCUCCUAUGAAGGAGGGAAGCUGAGGCAUGAAUGGACAUUCAUUCCUCUGUGGAGCGGAGCGUGGGGGCCUCUGUCAGCUUUGGAAACACAGCUGAGCACCUUGUACAAACCUGACAGGAAGUGAAUUAAAUCUCUAAAGCCUGUCUUUCUCACUCUGCCCUGAAAAUCACCCUGAGUAAAAACUGCUGCUAGAGCAAAGGUUCAGUUCUUCAACAGAUGCAGUUUCAAACUGCAUGAUUAUAUAAUUCUACAAAUCUCUAGAGAGAGCAGUGCCUUCACACUGCACUGUUUAAAACUGAUGUGUAGCUGAUGUGGACAUCUGAAUCUGAGGUACCAGAGAAGGAGCUGGGAUUUGCUCAUCUAUAUAUAAGAAUGACUGGAAUGUUUGUGCCAUUGGUUUCAUUGGAACUUCUCAGAAAAGCAGAGGUAUGUGUAUCCUUGGAUGCUCAGCAAAUCCAGAUCUUCAAUCAGAGGAAGACUUCUGUAUUUCAAUAGCACAUUUCAACAUACCGGGGAAGGAUGGAUAUUCAGGUUGCAUCCUGUUAUUGAAGCUAAUUUUUCAUGGUAACUAGUACUUUCCUUCCACUUGAGGAAAAAAAAUUCUCUAAAAGGUUGCAAGAUCCAUUUUGAUGAGCAGCAACUAUUAUUGCCUUUUAAAGUGUCUUUGAAAACUGUAGCUCUGUCCUGUUGUUGAAUGAUAUUGCCAUAGUGAGGCAAAUAUUUCAGCAGCAGAAAAUCUAGGCCCCUGCGUUCUACCUUUAAAGUCACUAGAAUAAAAAACACACUGCCUAAGUACAAAAUUACAAGAGUUUUGUUCCAUUACAUUCAAAUAAUGAAGGAACAAGCACAUGUUUGACAUAUAAUGUUUAUGUUUGCUGUUGCUAUCUUAAACAAUUCAGAUAAAAUGAUUGGAGAUUUAAGGUCUAACAGCCUGAAUUAAAGUCAGUGAAGCCAGCAUCUCAGGCCUGAACACGAAUUCAUGUGCUUAGAGAGCAUUUUUGGUCUCCAAGUAUAGCAUAGUCUUGAUGCAGAUAUUUUGAUUUCAGCAAGAAGAGGGAAAAGCUAUCAUUGCAUUAUCAUUCUGCAGCAGGGAAGUCCAGAUCAUAUCUGUGUUGAAGGUGCUUCACAAAGAUGCUUUUCUAUUUCCCCAAGAUGUAAAGAGAAAAAGAAGUCAUGUCACACAUCAACAAAAUAAUUAUUUCCUGACUUAUAUUGUGACAGUAUGAUCAUGCUUUAUUCAGCUUGUAUAACCCAGUUGUUAUUUCUUCUUCACUGAAACAGCUACAGAGUUUGAAUGUCAUUGAUGUGUGUCUCAUUGCUGUAUAAAUGGACAUAUUUAAUUCCAGGAGACCAAUAACAUCUCUUGUCUCUGAGGGGCUGGGGAAAGUGAGCUCACGUUCUAGCUCAGUCCCUUUUUCCGUUGCAACUGCUUUCAUUUGGUUGCUGUUUUUUAUUAUUAUUAUUUUCUUUAAUGAUUCAGCGCAGGCUCUUAUUCAAGAUAUAUAUUUUAAAAAAUCCAACAGAUUCAUGUGUUCAUGUAGACCAACAGGAUCUGGGUGGCUUAGAACUUAGAUUAAUUAGCUCUAGAUAUAUUUAGAACAGACAAAAGCAAAGAAUUUCUACCUGACAGGUAGAUGGUUUUACUCUGAGUUGCCUUCUCCAGAGAAGGUGCAUAAUCCUUACCCUGAUAUACAAAGAUUUUGUCAGCUUUCGCGUGUAGGGUUCUGGUAAAAACAUAUGGCAGAACUUGUACUCAACUAGAUGUGCACCACACACAUGGAUUUAUUCUGUAAGGAGUUCAUUUUGGUCAGCUUUAAGAAUUUCAUUAGCAGGGAGAAUGGAAAAAUCUUCAGAUCUCUAUUUUCCCAAAUUAGCUAAUUUCCUUUUGGAAUCAAGCUACUUAGAAUUAAAAUCUACAAUUAAAUAA
Long non-coding RNA from Lagopus muta (rock ptarmigan), 10094 nucleotides. RefSeq lists it as uncharacterized. NCBI's taxonomy places the organism in Eukaryota, Metazoa, Chordata, Aves, Galliformes, Phasianidae. The record is from RefSeq and is a predicted model, not a curated record. The transcript has 2 exons.